AGUGAACGCUGGCGGUAGGCCUAACACAUGCAAGUCGAACGGCAGCACAGUAAGAGCUUGCUCUUACGGGUGGCGAGUGGCGGACGGGUGAGGAAUACAUCGGAAUCUACUUUUUCGUGGGGGAUAACGUAGGGAAACUUACGCUAAUACCGCAUACGACCUACGGGUGAAAGCAGGGGAUCUUCGGACCUUGCGCGAUUGAAUGAGCCGAUGUCGGAUUAGAUAGUUGGCGGGGUAAAGGCCCACCAAGGCGACGAUCCGUAGCUGGUCUGAGAGGAUGAUCAGCCACACUGGAAGUGAGACACGGUCCACACUCCUAAGGGAGGCAGCAGUGGGGAAUAUUGGACAAAGGGCGCAAGCCUGAUCCAGCUAUACGGCGUGAGUGAAGCAGGCAUUCGGGUUGGAAAGCCCUUUUGUUGGGAAAGAAAAGCAGCAGGUUAAUACCCCGCUGUUCUGACGGUACCCAAAGAAUAAGCACCGGCUAACUUCGUG
This 492-nucleotide ribosomal RNA is filed under the name uncultured bacterium. RNAcentral's name for it is "partial 16S ribosomal RNA". It matches the Rfam family "Bacterial small subunit ribosomal RNA", at positions 29 to 507 of the family's 1533-position model. The record is from RNAcentral.